RNAcentral lists this ribosomal RNA (404 nucleotides) under Fusobacteriota bacterium. RNAcentral describes it as "Fusobacteria bacterium partial 16S ribosomal RNA". It matches the Rfam family "Bacterial small subunit ribosomal RNA", at positions 355 to 776 of the family's 1533-position model. Lineage: Bacteria; Fusobacteriati; Fusobacteriota. The record is from RNAcentral.
UGUGGAAUAUUGCACAAUGGAGGGAACUCUGCUGCAGCGACGCCGCGUGAGUGAUGAAGGACUUCGUUUCGUAAAACUCUGUUCUAUGGGAAGAAAAGGACUGUACCAUAGGAGAAAGCUCCGGCUAAAUACGUGCCAGCAGCCGCGGUAAUACGUAUGGAGCGAGCGUUGUCCGGAAUUAUUGGGCGUAAAGGGUGCGCAGGCGGCUUUACAAGUUGGAUGUGAAAUAUUGUGGCUCAACCACAAACGUGCAUCCAAAACUGCAAAGCUUGAGUUAAGGAGAGGUAAGUGGAAUUCCUGGUGUAGCGGUGGAAUGCGUAGAUAUCAGGAGGAAUACCGGUGGCGAAGGCGACUUACUGGACUUAAACUGACGCUCAGGCACGAAAGCGUGGGGAGCAAACAGG